This 327-nucleotide ribosomal RNA is filed under the name uncultured Pseudomonas sp. Its description in RNAcentral is "bacterial SSU rRNA". It matches the Rfam family "Bacterial small subunit ribosomal RNA", at positions 1063 to 1382 of the family's 1533-position model. The record is from RNAcentral. Lineage: Bacteria; Pseudomonadati; Pseudomonadota; Gammaproteobacteria; Pseudomonadales; Pseudomonadaceae.
UGCCGUGAGGUGUCGGGUUAAGUCCCAUAACGACGCGUCAACCCUUGUCCUUAGUUACCAGCACGUUAUGGUGGGCACUCUAAGGAGGACCUGACCGGUGGACAAACCGGAGGAAGGUGGGGAUGACGUCAAGUCCAUCAUGGCCCUUACGGCCUGGGCUACACACGUGCUACAAUGGUCGGUACAAAGGGUUGCCAAGCCGCGAGGUGGAGCUAAUCCCAUAAAACCGAUCGUAGUCCGGAUCGCAGUCUGCAACUCGACUGCGUGAAGUCGGAAUCGCUAGUAAUCGUGAAUCAGAAUGUCACGGUGAAUACGUUCCCGGGCCUU